GUAAAUAAUUAAGGGCGUAUGGUGGAUGCCUAGGCUCUCAGAGGCGAUGAAGGACGUGAUAAGCUGCGAAAAGCUCCGUUUAGGUGCAAAUAACCUUUGAUGCGGAGAUCUCCGAAUGGGAUAACCCAAUAUGUUGAAGACAUAUUAUACCGUAAGGUAGGCAAACGCAGGGAACUGAAACAUCUAAGUACCUGCAGGAGAAGAAAACAAAAGUGAUUCCCCCAGUAGCGGCGAGCGACCGGGGAUAAGCCCAAACCGUUAUUGUUUCGGCAGUAGCGGGGUAGUAGGACUGCGACAUUGAUGAAAUAAAUGAAAUGGAACACCUUGGAAAAUGUGAUCACAGAGGGUGAUAAUCCCGUACAUGCAAGUUUAUGAAUCAUAGCAGUAUCCUGAGUAAGUCGGGACACGUGUAAUCCUGACCGAAUCCGCCGGGACCAUCCGGCAAGGCUAAAUACUCCUGAGAGACCGAUAGUGAACCAGUACCGUGAGGGAAAGGUGAAAAGCACUUCGAACAGAAGAGUGAAAUAGUCCCUGAACCCAUACGCCUACAAGCUGUCGGAGCCGCUUCGUGCGGUGACGGCGUGCCUUUUGCAUAAUGAGCCUACGAGUUACUCAUCACCAGCGAGGUUAAGUACUUCAGGUACGUAAGCCGAAGCGAAAGCGAGUCUGAAUAGGGCGUCAAGUUGGUGGUGGUAGACGCGAAACCUUAGUGAUCUACCCAUGGGCAGGGUGAAGGUUUGGUAACACAAACUGGAGGCCCGAACCGGUAAACGUUGAAAAGUUUUCGGAUGACCUGUGGGUAGGGGUGAAAGGCCAAUCAAACUGGGAAAUAGCUCGUACUCUCCGAAAUGCAUUUAGGUGCAGCCUCUGUUGUUUUGUUCUAGAGGUAGAGCUACUGAUUGGAUGCGAGGGCUUCACCGCCUAUCAAAUCCGGCCAAACUCCGAAUGCUAGAACAUGAAGACAGGGAGUGAGCCAGCGGGUGCUAAGGUCCGUUGACGAAAGAGGGAGAACUCAGACCAUCAGCUAAGGUCCCCAAUUAUAUGCUAAGUUGGAAUUAAAACGGGGUGGGACUGCUUAGACAGCUAGGAUGUUGGCUUGGAAGCAGCCAUUCAUUUAAAGAGUGCGUAACAGCUCACUAGUCGAGCGGUCCUGCAUGGAUAAUACGCGGGCAUAAGCAUAUAACCGAAGCUAUGGGAUUGUAGAUGAUACAAUCGGUAGGAGAGCAUUCCAUUCAGCGUAGAAGCAGUAUCGUGAGGUAUUGUGGAGCGGAUGGAAAAGCAAAUGUAGGCAUAAGUAACGAUAAUGCGGGUGAGAACCCCGCACGCCGAAAGAUCAAGGAUUCCCCGGCAAUGUCAAUCAUCCGGGGGUAAGUCGGAUCCUAAGGGUAAGCCGAGUGGCGAUCCCGAUGGCAAACAGGUUAAUAUUCCUGUACUGAUCAUAACUGCGAUGCAGCGACGCAGAGGUGACACUGCUGCGUACUGACGGAAUAGUACGUUGAAACCCGUAUUCUUUGAUACCGGUAGUGAAGCACGCCGGUAGAGAUGAAAGGUGAUAGUACCGCAAUGCUUCGGUUGCGCGGAUAAUGCAGGUAAGCUGACUGCCAAGAAAACCUGCUAAGCUUCAGGUAAUGAUCAUCCGUACUGUAAACGGACACACGUGAUCAGGUAGAAAAUACUAAGGCGCUCGAGAGAUUCAUGGUUAAGGAACUAGGCAAAAUGGUCCUGUAACUUCGGGAUAAAGGACGCUCUUGUGAAAGAGCCGCAGAUAAUAGGCCCAGGCGACUGUUUACCAAAAACACAUGGCUAUGCUAAUUCGCAAGAAGAUGUAUAUGGCCUGACACCUGCCCGGUGCCGGAAGGUUAAGAGGAGAGCUCAGAGGUAACUCGAAGGUUUGAAUUGAAGCCCCGGUAAACGGCGGCCGUAACUAUAACGGUCCUAAGGUAGCGAAAUUCCUUGUCGGGUAAGUUC
Molecule: ribosomal RNA, 1968 nt
Filed under: human gut metagenome
Description: bacterial LSU rRNA
Rfam family: Bacterial large subunit ribosomal RNA
Source: RNAcentral